UACGAAGGGUGCAAGCGUUAAUCGGAAUUACUGGGCGUAAAGGGUGCGUAGGCGGUUCGUUAAGUCUGUCGUGAAAUCCCCCGGGCUCAACCUGGGAAUGGGCGAUGGAUACUGGCGAGCUAGAGUGUGUCAGAGGAUGGUGGAAUUCCCGGUGUAGCGGUGAAAUGCGUAGAGAUCGGGAGGAACAUCAGUGGCGAAGGCGGCCAUCUGGGACAACACUGACGCUGAAGCACGAAAGCGUGGGGAGCAAACAGG
This 255-nucleotide ribosomal RNA is filed under the name uncultured bacterium. Its description in RNAcentral is "partial 16S ribosomal RNA". It matches the Rfam family "Bacterial small subunit ribosomal RNA", at positions 524 to 776 of the family's 1533-position model. The record is from RNAcentral.